RNAcentral lists this ribosomal RNA (253 nucleotides) under uncultured bacterium. RNAcentral's name for it is "partial 16S ribosomal RNA". It matches the Rfam family "Bacterial small subunit ribosomal RNA", at positions 524 to 776 of the family's 1533-position model. The record is from RNAcentral.
GACGUAGGAGGCGAGCGUUGUCCGGAUUCAUUGGGCGUAAAGAGCUCGUAGGCGGUCUGUCGCGUCUGCUGUGAAAACUCAGGGCUUAACCCUGAGCUUGCAGUGGGUACGGGCAGACUAGAGUGCGGUAGGGGAGACUGGAAUUCCUGGUGUAGCGGUGAAAUGCGCAGAUAUCAGGAGGAACACCGGUGGCGAAGGCGGGUCUCUGGGGCGUAACUGACGCUGAGGAGCGAAAGCAUGGGGAGCGAACAGG